GCAAGUCGAGCGGAAACGAUGUUAACAAUCCUUCGGGGGCGUUAACAGGCGUCGAGCGGCGGACGGGUGAGUAAUGCUUAGGAAUUUGCCCAGUUGAGGGGGAUAACUAUUGGAAAUGAUAGCUAAUACCGCAUACGCCCUAAGGGGGACAGGAGGGGACCUUCGGGCCUUCCGCGAUUGGAUAAGCCUAAGUGAGAUUAGCUAGUUGGGGGGGUAAUGGCUCACCAAGGCGACGAUCCCUAGCUGGUCUGAGAGGAUGAUC
Molecule: ribosomal RNA, 262 nt
Filed under: uncultured bacterium
Lineage: Bacteria
Description: partial 16S ribosomal RNA
Rfam family: Bacterial small subunit ribosomal RNA
Source: RNAcentral